CCUACGGGAGGCUGCAGUGAGGAAUAUUGGGCAAUGGGCGCGAGCCUGAACCAGCCAAGUAGCGUGAAGGAUGACUGCCCUACGGGUUGUAAACUUCGUUUAUAAAGGAAUAAAGUUAGGCACGUGUGCCUUUUUGUAUGUACUUUAUGAAUAAGGAUCGGCUAACUCCGUGCCAGCAGCCGCUGUAAUACUGUGGAUGCAGGCGUUAUCGGGAUUUAUUGGGUUUAAAGGGUGCGUAGGCGGUGAGGUAAGUCAGCGGUGAAAUGCCCCGGCUCAAAGGGGUGAAGUGCCAGUGAUACUGCCUUGCUGGAAUGCGGAUGCGGUGGGAGGAAUGUGUGGUGUAGCGGUGAAAUGCAUAGAUAUCACACAGAACACCGAUUGCGAAGGCAUCUCACGAAUCUGCGAUUGACGCUGAUGCACGAAAGCGUGGGUAUCAAACAGGAUUAGAUACCCCAGUAGUC
Molecule: ribosomal RNA, 461 nt
Filed under: uncultured bacterium
Lineage: Bacteria
Description: partial 16S ribosomal RNA
Rfam family: Bacterial small subunit ribosomal RNA
Source: RNAcentral